Molecule: RNA transcript, 2509 nt
Organism: Cucumis sativus (cucumber)
Lineage: Eukaryota; Viridiplantae; Streptophyta; Magnoliopsida; Cucurbitales; Cucurbitaceae
Gene name: cell division protein FtsY homolog, chloroplastic
Exons: 13
Source: RefSeq, a predicted model, not a curated record
UUUCCUCCAAAAUUUCCAAUCGGAAAUCGCCUAUAAACUUCCUUCAAUCUAUAUCCGCCAACAAAAUGUUUGUUCCGAUCACUUCCCACUCUUCAAUUCCUUGGUUUCGGUCACUUUACUUCACUCCUUUCAACUUUUUUCCCCCGAUCGGUUUCCAGUGUACUCUAAACUAUGGCGACGACGUCGUUCCGGAGUAUUGAAAUCACCGUCGUCUCAGGGGAGGAUUUGCGAAUCGAUAGGAAGCCUGUGAAGAGGAAGACAUUCGCGACCGUCAAGUUCGAUCGCCAGAGCUUUGGCGGCGGCGGUGGAAGUACAGAAAAUAUUGACGAACGAGGCGGCAGUUAUCCGUUGUGGAAUGAGAAAAUGGGGUUGGAGAUUCCGGUGGAUACAGUGUUCUUGACGAUCGAGGUGCAUUAUUGUUCUAAUUCGAGGAACAGGAUCGUUGGAACUGCGAACGUUCCGGUGUCGGAUUUUCUCGGACGGUAUAGGCCGGAAAGUUAUUUACAUUUACUGAGUUAUAGAUUGAGAGAUGGAAAUGGUGAACGAAAUGGAAUCGUUAACAUUUCAGUGAGAGUUAAGGAACUGGAAUCGGACUCGGAACCGGCGAUCGCUUCAAAAGCAACGGUUAGAGUUCCAGUGGCGGAGACGGCGGCAUUCUGCCGGAGUAGAGGCGGCGUAGUGAUCGGAGUUCCUAUUUGGAGUUCUUGCUCUUACAAAUCUUGAUGGACUUUGCGAUGAUUUGAGCCUUAGUGUUGAAUUUGGUCCUAUUUCUAAAACAAAACGACGACGUUCGAAGAGUACGAUUAACCAAUCAAAACGGCGUCGUUUAUCACAUUUCUAGGAGUAGUUUAUCCAUCUGGCGUUCCCGUUCUCGGAGCUGGAAAAAAGUUAUGGCCGCGGCCUCACUCUCUCAACUAUCCUUUCUCUCAAAUCCUUCACCCCGAAGCUUAUUUGUUCCAUCGCUCCGGCCAACAACUCCUUUCCGGCGAAUCCACGGCGAUGGUUCUCGUUUCAGAUGCUCUGCCGGUCAGACGGGAUUCUUCACUCGGCUUGGCAGGCUGCUGAAGGAGAAGGCCAAAAGUGAUGUGGAGAAGGUCUUCUCAGGCUUCUCAAAAACCCGAGACAACCUUGCUGUUAUCGAUGAGCUUCUUCUGUAUUGGAACCUCGCGGAAACCGAUAGAGUUCUCGACGAACUCGAAGAGGCAUUAUUGGUUUCUGAUUUCGGGCCAAGGAUCACCAUUAAGAUCGUGGACAGCUUGCGUGAUGACAUAUUGGCUGGGAAGCUUAAAUCUGGUAGUGAAAUAAAGGAAGCGUUAAAGAAGAAUGUCUUGGAGUUGUUGAAAGGGAAGGGGAGCAAAACUGACCUUCAACUUGGAUUCCGCAAACCAGCUGUGAUUAUGAUAGUUGGCGUUAACGGGGGUGGAAAGACAACAUCCCUUGGAAAGCUGGCUUUUAGAUUGAAAAACGAAGGGGCCAAAAUAUUAAUGGCAGCGGGUGAUACAUUUAGAGCAGCUGCUAGUGAUCAGCUGGAAAUUUGGGCAGAUAGAACUGGAUGUGAGAUUGUUGUUGCUGAAAAAGAGAAUGCCAAAGCGUCAUCAGUUCUAUCACAGGCUGUAAAGAGAGGAAAGGAAGGUGGUUUUGACAUUGUUUUAUGCGAUACAUCUGGACGUCUACAUACAAAUUAUAGCUUGAUGGAAGAGUUAAUAGCAUGUAAGAAAGCUGUGGCCAAAGUUAUUCCAGGGGCACCUAAUGAAUUUUCACCUCACACUUGCAUCACACAAGCAUUCAAUUGAUAUUCAUCAUAAUUAAGCAUGGGCCUGUGGAGAUCUUGCAGGUAUUAGAUGGUACGACUGGUUUGAAUAUGCUGCCACAAGCAAGGGAGUUCAAUGAUGUAGUUGGAAUUACUGGUUUAAUUUUGACAAAACUAGAUGGUUCUGCAAGAGGUGGUUGUGUGGUCAGUGUGGUUGACGAGCUUGGAAUUCCUGUAAAGUUUGUUGGCGUUGGUGAAGGGUUAGAAGAUCUUCAACCUUUUGAUCCAGAGGCCUUUGUUGAUGCCAUAUUUUCAUGAUUUGUGCAAUAAGGGUGGAAACCACAAUAUUAGUUUGAAAUUGAAGUAAGAGAAGUUUAUGGUUUUUGAUGAGGAAGUGGAAAUGAAGAAUGCCCUGAAAAAUGCAUAGAUCAUCAAAAUGAUUGUUCAAUCUGAAGAAAUGGUCAGGCAAAGAAGAAGAUUAUUGCACAUAUUUUGUGACUUGAGAAAGCAAUUUUGAAAUAGUCAUUGAUGAUUGAUGUGAGUUGGCAUGCCCAUCAUCGAAGGUGAUCUGACUUUCCUUCCCUGCUUGUUGUGAAGUUUGAUCUCUUCUGAAGCCAACACAUGUUAUAUGUAAGUUUGUUAAAUUUACUUAGGUCUAAGUUAUUUUAAAUACCAAAAUUUACAAUGUAUUGUGUUGUAAUUUUGUAAUUUUCAUCCUACCUUUUUAUAAGCAACUUAUCAGUGAUUUUCAUGUGCACA